CCCUUAGAUGUCCUGGGCCGCACGCGCGCUACACUGGUACACGCAACGAGUCUAUCACCUUGGUCGGCAGGCCCGGGUAAUCUGCGAACGUGUACCGUGAUUGGGAUAGAUUGUUGCAAUUUUCAAUCUUGAACGAGGAAUUCCUAGUAAACGCAAGUCAUCAGCUUGCAUUGAUUACGUCCCUGCCCUUUGUACACACCGCCCGUCGCACCUACCGAUUGAAUGGUUCGGUGAAAUCCUCGGACUUUGGCACGCAAGCCUCACGGCGAACGUGCCGAGGGAAGUUGAUUAAACCUCAUCAUUUAGAGGAAGGUGAAGUCGUAACA
RNAcentral lists this ribosomal RNA (326 nucleotides) under uncultured eukaryote. RNAcentral's name for it is "partial 18S ribosomal RNA". It matches the Rfam family "Eukaryotic small subunit ribosomal RNA", at positions 1470 to 1796 of the family's 1831-position model. The record is from RNAcentral.